RNA transcript from Zingiber officinale, 7122 nucleotides. It is a transcript of the gene named general transcription and DNA repair factor IIH subunit TFB5-like, with no coding region annotated. The transcript has 4 exons. The record is from RefSeq and is a predicted model, not a curated record. Lineage: Eukaryota; Viridiplantae; Streptophyta; Magnoliopsida; Zingiberales; Zingiberaceae.
UCUUUAUUAGAUAUUUGGUACUUUGUGCAUAAUUGUUUGAUAUAUUAUUGUGAUAGUAUGCGUAGCUUACCUUGAAUCUAUGUUUGGUUGAUUCUUGAUAUUGAUAACUAUCCUUCUUGCUCUUAUGUGUUAUUCAUGGUAUAUCUAUGCAGCCUUAUUGUGGUUAUGUUUGAUUGUUGGUACUCGUACGAUACCUUUAGACUGUGAUAUAACUAGUGGUGUAUACCCUAUUGAUGUUAGUUUCUUGUUCGUAUUGGUUGGGUACUUGUAGACUUUGACUACCCACGGGACCAUUCGUGAUAGCGUGUUCGGCCAUAGUCCGUAGCUAGAUAGCUACAUGCCCUGUCUACCCAUGGGACCAUUCGUAGUAUAGUGUUCUCCCACAGGCAGUGGCCACUAGUCUGCCCACAGGACCAUCCGUGGUAGAGUGUUCUCUCGCAGACAAUGAUGUCUUACAUACCCUAGCUAACAGUUCGGCUGCAGUCAAUAGUUGUUGUAUAAGUAUGUGCAAUAUUUGAUUGCUCAGGUUGGUAAAAUCCAGGGUUAAUAUUUUCCUCUUGUUGGUGCUAGUAUGUGAAGACACUGAAACUACUCCCUUGGUUCUUGUUAUUUUUUUUUCAUGCACUUUAUGUGAUCUAUCCACUAAGUAUCUUAUACUCACUACCCAUUUGUUUUCUUAUGUUUCAAGUAGAAAAUAAAGUCUUGUCGCAUGGAGAUCCUGGUUGCUGGUCCCAUGUUAGAGAUGUCUCGUAUUCAAUCUUAUGUUGUCGUGGGGGCAUUUUGUCUUUUUAGUAUUUGAAGUUUACUAGGGGUUGGUUUUUCAUAUAGUUUCUCUAUUUGUUUAUUUCUGAGUGUGUGAUUUUUUGUUAGACAUGCGCGCAUGCAAACAUUUUUCUAUGUACAUAUUUUAUGUUGGUAUGGUUAUUGUCAUCUAUGGCGUUUUGUUUCAGCCUCGUGGGUUGUUUAAUAUAUUUGUGGUUAUGUAUUCAGGGUGAAAUUGCCAUUGUUACAGAGGAGGUGCUGUCUGAUUUCUGUCGGACAACCUUACCCUCGGGGUGUGACAUAACUUCUAGAAAUAUAGGGAUUAAAACCUCUCCCUACUUGGAUGACUAGCAUGUGAACUGAGCUUCGGUGGAGAUUUGUUGUGUGAGUGUAUUCGAUCGAACAGGCGUGGUCGAUCGACGUCCCUUGAGUCGCUGGCGGUGAAUCAAAGGCUAGUUAGUAGUAGUGGACUCGGAGGGGAUCACCAUGGGCAUCACUUUCCAUGACUCACCUGGAUUUCUCUCCACUGGUUGGAUCCUCAUCCCAGUCGAUUGGCAUAAGCCCAUGGCUUUCCAUCUUGGCCUCACCUUGCACGUCCGUCUCCUCAUCAUCCAUUUUUGUGGAGUUAUUCAAUAAAGCUUUUCACAUGGUUUUAACUAUAAAACAAAAAAUGAAAUCAAUUAUAUUUAACAGCGAAAGGAAGUUGAAUUCCUUACGGAAGCUAUCAGGCAAUUAGACUCAGAUGGGACUCAGUCCAAACAUGUACAGUACGCCUUUAGUCAACAGCUUAUGAAUGUAGUAUUUCAGAUUGGAUAGCUGUCGGACACCGUGAGGUAGACUAGCUCUCACCGAUACACACCCAGCUCGAGAGGGUUGAUAUUUCAGAUUGGAUAGUUGAUCAAACGCCGGAGGUCACUGGAAGGACGGGUCGGAGAUAGAAGUAAUGAGAUUUCCAUCCUUUAUUGGAUGAAGGUAUCUUAUCAAAAAAUACCGCACCCACUCAGGCCUAGAAGAUGAAGACACUCGGCUCAAACUUUUUCAGGUAAUAAAAGUAGUGGAAGACUCGGGAUGCAAUGGGACUUGAUAUAGACGAAACAGUACAAUAACUCCACACAUUAACCUAAUGGAAUUAGGUGCUAGUUGUUGCAAGGGGAUAUGAAAUUAAGCACAAACUUCUAAGAAAAAAGGGUGCAAGGGAAAAUGAAGGUCGACAAAGAAUUGGUCUUUAAAGAAAAUAAGAUAGUCGGCCGAAAGAAGAUUGGAGUAGUCGUGGCCAGACGGGAUGAUGAUGCUAUUGUUGGGAGGGAUGUGAUAGGUGAGAUGUAUUUGGUCCACCUCCUCGACAUUGAAGUCAGAGGUGGUGAAGGUGUACCAGAGCCCAUGAAUAGUGAUAGGGGGAGCAGAAGCCAUGGAAGAGGAAGAAAGUUGAACGAAGGAUGAAAAAAAAUGAACUUAUGAUGAGAACGGAAAGUUUGGAGAAUUGUCAGCAACAACAGAAAGGAGAGGAUGAAGAAGAAGAUGAUUGAGAAAACUUUGAAAAGGGUGAACCUUAAAACUCUAGUGAUGACCGCUCACAACUGUAUGAUCAAGGGGAUGGAGGAAAGAGGCUCAAUCCAGAUCAUUGAAUUUGAACUACCAACAGUCACAUCAAAUCUCAACAGUCACCUGUCAUAUCGGAUAUUCCUCAUCAUAGGCAUGUGAUGCAUGAUAAACAAGACACAGGCUGCAUUUAUAAGGGAUGAGAGACAAUAAACAAGCUUAUGAUAAAAAAAUGCAUACUCAUCAUAUCAAGCAUUAAUUAGUAAAUGAUUUGCUUUGUUUCCUAGGGGCCAAAGUGAUGUCAGCUCAAGCCGAGCAAAGAUACAAAGAAUGAGCAUCUGAUCAGGAAAUAAGGGAUGCGGGAAGCACCAACAACUAAGUAUAACAUCAACUAGUGUCAGGAGUUAAACAAAGAGUGGACGUCCGAUCAAAGCACAAGGAACACAAACAAGAGAAGUAUCUAGUCAGUCGGACCUGCAGUUUCCUUUGACUAAACUUGAAAGGGAGGUUUGUGAUACAGCGGAUAAGGUAAGACCCUCGAGUCAGGUCAAAGUCCAGGAGACCGGCUGACAUUGUGGUCAAAGUCAAGGAGGAGUCAGCACUCGGACCAGCGUAGUCGAUCGUCUAGGCCAAGAGGUUAUCCGACUGGACCUUUGUCCUGGUUAGACAUCGAGCCCCUCAGUAUUGAUGAAACUCUAAGUCAAGUUAGUACCAUCCAGAGCCAGGUCCUCUUCAUCACCCAAGGAUAACAUAGUUAACUAUUUUUAGCAAAGUAAUCUAGCCGGUCGGACCAAUGGUCUGAUCUAACAAACUAGACACUUGGUCCAACCGUUACGACUGAGCGAAGGAUGAGUCCCCGACAAUAUUCCUCAAAUCCGACCUGGUCAUUCUUGAGAGUAAUAGCCGAUUAGAUUAUGGAAGAGCUUUGUUGGUUUAACAACUAAAUAUAUUAAGGACCCCUCAAUCCAACGACCUUACAUUCUUUUUUGAUGAUUUGUACUACGGAUAAUAGAGAAUAUUUCAUUUGCAAGUUGUACUCUAGAAACUUCCACUCUGCCUAUUUUAAGAAAAGUGUUAGAGCAUCUUUAUAAUCUGUCCUAUUUUACAAACGCUUUGAGAUUCGUGUAUAGAUAAACAGUAACACUAUAAAAGGGGAUUUCCAUCCGCAGGCACAUGCACGCUUACAUUAUGCAAACAAUAUAUACAAGCUACAUUAUGCAUCCACUAUUCAUCUGUUGUUUACGGCUUCAAUUGGUCACUGACUUGAGCGUUAGAAUGUCUGUGCCAAGGACUCCUCCCUAACCCGGUUGUUGACGUUCUUUUUGACACGCAGGGCUACUCAGAGUCAUUUUUUACUGGCUUUGAGUCUUUACACGAUCAACAUCAAAACCAUCUACCCAGCGCAUCAUCUUCUUCGCUUUCAGACAAUAUUAGAGACUAAGCAAUUGCCCAUCCAAAUCAACGCUAGCUACAAAGUCUUUCUAGUGGUGUCUGCUGCCUGAGUGUAGAGUACUAGACGGAGUGUUUAUAGUCGAGCGAGGAGGCAAUGUGAAUUAGAUCGGAAGUGCAGAAGUUAUCUUUUGAUGGCCUAUAGACGUGGAGGCAAACCAAAAAAGUAAAUUGCAUCGGAUAAAAAAUAGAGACUAAAUGCUAUGCCGAAUUCAAAAACUGAGGAAAGUUUUCAUGGAAUUUUUCGUUAUUUAUUCCAUAAGAAAGGAUAUGGAUUAUUAAUUCUUUUUGUCGUUUACUUCGCAUGGAAUAAUACACGAAUGGAUUCAUAAAUCUAUCAGCAAAUUCAUUUGUUACCGAUUUUUUAUCCACCAAAAAAUGGACAAAACACCUUUCCUUCCCGUCGCGUGCGUCACUGUCCUCAGCCACGCGAGCCUUCAAUUGCUCCGAUGGCUCUGGACAAUUAGUCCAACAUGGCCACUUACGCUUGUUGCUAGUGGCGGGUGUCCAUGCACGUCCCCUCGCAAGCAGUUGGUGUCCAUGUAUGACCUCUCGCAAGUGUCCACACACGAUCGCUCGCGAGUGGCAGGUGUGCACACAUGACUGCUAGCGAGCAACGGACGUCGUUGCAUGGCCGCUCGUGAGCGGUGAGCGUCCUUGCACGCGACGAUCCCGAGCGACGGGUGUCACGCAAGCAAUGACAACGAGCAUCAACAGCGAGCAGUGGGCAAUGAGCGUCCUUACACAACCACUCAAAACGAUCACGGGUGAUGGGCGUCACACAAGCAGCGACGAUGAGCAUCCACAACGACAACAAGCAUGAGCGGCGAGCACCCACACAUGACCUCUCGUGAGCAGUAGGUGGCUCACAACUCUCGUGCGUCCAUGCAUGGCCGCUCUUGAGCGACGGACAUCUCGCAAGUGUCCAUGCAUGACCGCUCAUGAUUAUCACGAAUGGCGGGGCUGCCCUCUGCCCUCUGCCCUCUUCCCCUAUCUUCUCUUUUUUCCUUAAGGAUUCUUUUCUCUUUCCUUUCUUUCUUUUCCCUUUAUCAGGAUAUUUUCCCACAGUAAAAUCCUUUCCCUCACUCAUCCGCUCCUUCAAGUAAAGAGAGCCUAAAAAAAACUAGAGGCGAACCAAAAAAAAAAAUAUUGUAUGGAAGAUAGAUACUAAAGAAAACUUGAGAAAUAAAAGCUUAGGGUUCCAAUGUUAUGACCAUACGAAUUGAAAUCAUCAUAGCCACUGGGCAAAAAGUUUCUUCGUAAUACGAGAAAAUCCUUGAGCAAGUAACCUUGCUUUAUAUCUAUCCACACUACCAUCAUCUUUUCUCUUGAUUUUGUACACCCACUAACAAAGAAUAGGAAUGACAAUUUCAACCCCGAACCCAAUGGAAGAUUCGAUAUCUGAUCCGAAUGGAAGAGAGUUUGGAGGGACUAUCAAUACCUGAUAUUCAACCUGAAUACCUGAUUAAAUAAUAUAUACACAUAUAUUAAAGAAAAUUUUCUUUUCCAAAAUUCACUGACUCUUUUUUGAUAUUAGGAGAAGACUAUAUAGAUGUUUAAUUUAUUUUUUAAAUUAUGUAUACAUAUUUUAAUAGGAUGUUAAUUUUAAUAUAUUUUUGUUAAAUGAUAAUAGUUGGAUAGAAAGAAGAAAAAUUAUAAGUAUAGAAGAUAUUCAAUCCUUUAAUAGGUAUGAGUAUACUCAUCGAAUAUCCUAUACUCAAUGGGUAUGAGGACGGAGAAUAUAAAAUAUGAUCCGAACUUGGCCUAUUACUCUCUCUAACAAAGAAUCUAUAGCAAGCUCACAUCACUUAUUUCCUUUUGCUUCUUCAACUAUAGAAGGUUUUUUUAUUAUCAAUUGGACAUAUAAAGAAACAAGAAUAUCUCCUAAUUAAAUUUUCAUCUAUAUAAUGAGUUGGCUUAAGAAUGAUUCUCUUUGGCUUUUGCAAAUUAAGUAUCUCAUUUGAAUUAUCUAUUUCUAAUAAAUUAGUCUCUUGAGUAUUUAGACUCUCCCUUUCAUAUUGCUCCUUAAUAGCAGAUGAAGAUGAAUUGAUUGGAGGAGUAGAAUUAAUAGACAAGACAACCCGCCCUUUGGACGAUUUCAUUUAAAGCAGAAGAAGCGCCUGCUUCAUUUUCGCCCUCUUCUCUGCUCUAAGCGUCUGCUCCGCAUAUUAAGACUUCCUACUCCUCAUCUCUCAUCUUCUUCCUCUUCCAUGAUAUGAACUCCUUCGCUCUCUCAUUGACGUCGUUUUCCCCCUCGCCGGAGGACCGUUGAGGCUCCCCUGCCUCGCAACACUCCUCGGUGGGAUUACUAGGCUUUGAUUCUUCUCGCUCACAGGGUUUUUCAGGCUGCUUCACCGGCAGUGGGUAUGGCUUCUUUCUCCUACUUCUCUUUCCGUUGCAGACGAAGCAAUUGCCCAUCCAAGUCAAUGCUAGCUACCUACAAAGCUUUCCGGUGGCGUCCAGUUUCUCUGGCUGAGUGCAGAGUGCAGAGUGCAGAGUGCAGAGUGCAGAGUGCAGAGUGCAGAGUGCAGGACGGAGUAUUUAUAGUCGAGCGGGGAGGCGAAGUGAAUUGGAAGACGAAGCUGUGGAGGAAAAAUUAUAAUAUGAAUGAUGGAAAAGGGCGGUCGGGACGGUGGUGAUUCUGAGGACCGACGUCGGAGGAUGCCAUGGCUUUUCUGCUCUUGACUUGUUGACCAGUCAAUGGUCUGCUCGAGUCUGUCAUCCAUCUUGCGGAGAGAAGAAACCCUAGGCGGUGUGAUUUCCGAUCCUGUUCCUUGCUCGGCCGGCGUUUCCCCGUCGGUGUCGUCCUCUUCCUCCUCAAGACCUCACAGCGGAAGCUCCUCCCCUUGCUAGCUACGGCACAAGGUUAUAGCUUUUGCUUACUGAUACAAAGAUGGUUAAUGCAAUAAAGGGCCUCUUGAUUUCCUGUGAUAUCCCCAUGGCACAAUUUAUUAUCAACUACAAUGCUUCCCUGCCUCCUUCCCAGAAGUUCAUCUUACAUGUGCUUGACAAUACACACAUAUUUGUGCAGCCUAGCAUGGGUGAAAUGAUCCGAAGCAAGAUUGCUGAGUUUAGGGAUCAAAAUACCUACGAGAAGCCGGCAUGAUUCCCUUUCUGCUAUUUAGCAAGACAAUAAAUUGGGACAUGAAACUUAUAUGUGGAUCAGUCACUUGUAACUUCCGUCUAAUAUAAUGUUUUUUUUAUCUUGUUACUUUGAGUCAAAGUGCGACUAUUAGUAUGAGACAUACAACUGAACUAGCUUUUAGAUCACAACUUAGUAUUUCUUAUGUCAGUUCUGUUAUAUGAACAGUCUUAUAAACUCUAGUUUGGGGAAUUUACAGGAAGCAAUUCAAAAUUGCUGAAGUUUUAGUA